This 69-nucleotide transfer RNA is filed under the name Marmota marmota marmota (Alpine marmot). It matches the Rfam family "tRNA". Rfam says of the family: Transfer RNA (tRNA) molecules are approximately 80 nucleotides in length. Their secondary structure includes four short double-helical elements and three loops (D, anti-codon, and T loops). Further hydrogen bonds mediate the characteristic L-shaped molecular structure. tRNAs have two regions of fundamental functional importance: the anti-codon, which is responsible for specific mRNA codon recognition, and the 3' end, to which the tRNAs corresponding amino acid is attached (by aminoacyl-tRNA synthetases). tRNAs cope with the degeneracy of the genetic code in two manners: having more than one tRNA (with a specific anti-codon) for a particular amino acid; and 'wobble' base-pairing, i.e. permitting non-standard base-pairing at the 3rd anti-codon position. Lineage: Eukaryota; Metazoa; Chordata; Mammalia; Rodentia; Sciuridae. RNAcentral also lists the same sequence under 1 other name. The record is from Rfam by way of RNAcentral.
GGGAUUGCGGCUCAGAGGGAGAGCACUCGCCUCGCAUGCGUGAGGCACUGGGUUCGAUCCUCAGCCCCA